CUUUCACCUUCCCUCUCCAGAAACAGGGCCACUUCUAAAGCCAUGGUCAUCAAACUUCUCUGCUCCCACAUCCCCCGAAAAAAUUGUGAAAAAGUCACCUUCCACGCUUAACACAGACGUCUACCUUCUGCAACACAAUGCGAGCGGUUGCAGGGGUCUGAGUUCCCGUGCACCAUCAUCAUUACCGUGUUAACUGUGGUGGCCUGUGUUCCGCUGGCCAGGGUUCCGGGAAGAGGGCAGCUUUUAUUCCGAAAUGACUCUAAGUCCUUACGGUGAGAAAUGAUGACAGCCGCGGACCCAUAGCCGGGCGGCAGCACACGCCGGAGGGGGCCGGUCCGCCCAGCUCACGACCAACAGUGGCAGAAGCAGAUUCCUACUGUCUACAAUAACCCUCGCCGGCACCAGCGAUAUUCCAGUUAACAUCAGUUUGUGGACAAAACAAGCCUUGUUUGAGGACACCUGGCCUGAUCACUGACGGAGGCGCAGCACCGGGAGUGACCCGUCACCAGUUUUCCAGCCGUGUCCUGUUGCCAAGGGACAGGUUCUUGGUGACCUCAGGCUCCCAGGGAAGCUGAACUGGAGGGAGCAGGUGCGGCGCAGAGGCAAGUGUUUCAUGUGCUCACAAAGGAAAAGUUAUCAACUUGCUGUCAGUCGGCUGAAGAUAAAAAGUCAUCUUAAAUCUGGAAAAACAAAACACUUAUUAAAAGUCAGCAGAAAGUCAUAAAAAUUAGAGCAGUCCUGCUCGGUUCAGUCAGCCCCGGGUCACUGGUUCUCGUUCUGCUUGGAUACAGUGUUUCCGCCACUUCUGGAAAUUUUUACCCAGCUCAGCUUUAUGAUCCCCGUGAUUAGCAACCUGCGCCGGGAAGGCGGCUGCCUCGAGGCGUCUGAGUGGAAGUAGGACAGUCUGUGAAUGACAGAAGGGCCUACAUGUGCCCUCGGUCGCAGAUCUGGUGAGAGCUCAGGACAGCGCAACAGAGGAAUUCGGUGACUUCAUGACGCGGAGGACUCCAAGUGGAAGUGGGCUGUGGAAGUGGGCUGGGCAGGUACCGGUUUUAAUCAUCCGUCUGUCCAUGCGUCCAGGCGAACCACAGGCAACAGGGGCCUGCCGGCCUGGGAGACGCCAGGGCCACAGGUUAGAGUCGCAGAGCCGUGGGGUCCCAGCCAGGAGACAGUCAUCUACUCCUGGGUCUCCUCGAAGUGCAGGCAGGAUUUCACGGGCUACUCAGUCUGGGAGGACCAUCCUUUGAGUUUGUGUAAUAAUUCCAGGACCACAUUUGAUGGGGGAGUCCUGGCUUGAUAAUAAUCCACCUUUCUUCGAAUGGCUACGGGUCUAUGGGAUGAGGAAGGCGUAUCUGGAGUCAGUACAGAUGCUGACUGUUAAGACUUGGCAGAUGGCAAAGACAGGUGGGCGCUAUUGACUCUGCUCUGGGGACAGACGUGUUUGUGACAGAGCGGGGGCCUCAGCAGGCACACCCAGCUUUCCUCACUCCCUUCUCCAUGAAACCACCGCCGCGGGUAGGACGGCUGUCACCUGCGGCUUUGACAGCGGGUCCGUGAGGAUAAGCAAGACUAAUGAUGUCCGAACAGGUUGUCGGAAGCACAGCCCGGCGUCCUGCACUCCAGGCUUCCGGACUUCAGGCUGCUGAAGACCUGCUGUCCAGUGACUUCGAUCCAUCAUCGUCCAAGCAGCGCUCGGCGUCUCAGGUCAGCGAAGACUUUGAGAGCCGCCCUGACGAUCGCCCCCGAAAACUAGACACAGACGUGACCGACCGUUUUAAGUCAUCAUUUUGCAGACAGAUCGCAGCAGAGGUGACAGGAGCGUCUUUGACCCCCAGCAGCCUCAGUGGAAUAGGAGUUUUGAGUCUUUAACGCUGACACCUCCAGAGACGCGUCCCUCCUGACUCAACCUGCAAACCUGAACGGAGACUCCUCUCUCGCAGGACUGCAAGCGCUCGGCGGGAACCGUCUUUCCUUCCCGGAGCCUGAGGUCGGCAGUGGCGCCUGAGAAACAAGGCCCCCGGCCGGGGGCGCUGGGCCGGGCUUGUGGGGUGUCGGCCUGGGCGCUGCCCCCCCUUCUCCUCCUCACCGAGUUCGUGCUCCAAACAACCAGCCCCACUAAGGACAAGACCACUUUCUUCUCCUGAAACAAACAAAAAAAUACAUUCCCGCUUUUUAUUCCCCUGACAAAUUUCAUAAUAAAUUAUGAAUUUAUUUGAGUUCCGGCCGACACAAGCAGAAGGAAAGCCCAUUUCAUGCUGAUAGUUACAGAGACGCGCCUGUUUCGGUGGAACUGACAGCCCUGAACUUGCUUUAGGAGCGACUCGCCCCGGAUCCCUUGAACUUGACCACCCCGCCUAGUCUGAGUUUCGGAGUGCCGUCUUCCCGCGCACCUGCCUUCGGGCCGUUGGACGGGCGCGCUCCGCCAGGAUUCCCCCGUCCCCGCGCGCCCGGGAGCGCACCUCCCACGAGGGCAGGCCCCGCACAGCUAGACAAGACCGCGCAAACCCUAGGGCUUGUGUACGGGACACUGGCGGCAGGUCCGCUUUUCAACUACUUCAAUUCUUCUUCCUCCGGAGGAACACAAUUCCUAGACGUUUGCUUUCAAAGAAAGGCUCUCUGGGGUCCCGGAGGGGCAGGAGGGGCGGGAGGUACAAAAUCCACAGCCACAGAGAGGGCAUCUCACGUUCCCCCGGGGGAGACGGCCCCUCCGCCGGCCGGAGAGACGCUGGAGUCCGGCCCCUGCGGCGGCGGCGGCGGCUCCAAAAGGCCUCUUCCUCCUUCCCGUCCCGGGUGCUUCUGAGCCGCGUUGACGUUCGAGACAUCCGUAGUUUUAAGGGACAGAGAAAGGAUUAAAAACACCUUUUUUCUCCAGAGUUUCAGAGUAACUGCUAUUUAAAAUGGAUCCUCUUUUUUCUUAAGUACGGGACCAUCUUGUUCCAACAGCCUGGUCUUUCCUAAACCCCGCAGCGCCCUGCAGGAGCCCGUGAGGUGCGGGGCAGGGGGCAGGCCUGUGGCUCCGCACGUGGCUUCAGCGGCUCGUUCCGGGUUCCGCAGACGUGGGGAGGACGGAGGCAGCUGCGUCGCAUUCCCCACGCUCUGGAUCACAGCCUGAGUCUCGAGAGACUGGCCUCUCUUUUUAACUAGUUUUUGUUUUCCAUCAGGGAGAUUUUCAGCUAAAAUGAGAAUCAAUUAGAUCUUUACGUGUGUGUGUUUUAAAACACACAGCGUCGGGCUCGAGCCCACAACCCGGACCUGGAGAGUCACACGCUCCUCCGCCCGAGGCAGGCAGGUGCCCAGGCUGCAUCUUUUAAGGUGUGCGUGAAGCAUUUUAGUAUCAGUUUUCUCUUCGGUACAUGGCUGAGCCGUGGCUUCUGCUAACUUCUGGCCUUUGGAGGAUCAGCCGUCAGAGGGCCUGGGGGAGCCGUGCUGCGCUUUCUCUGUGAAGGGGGAAGGUCGGACAGUCAUCAGCCUUUUUAAUUAUUUGAAAGCAGAGGUAAAGGGGCUUUAUCAUUUAAAAGUGGGGUUGCGGUCGGGGUUGGGGAGUGGUGGGGCGGCAGGACUCUCUGGCGGUAGGGGGUCCGGGAGCCCGAGCCCACGGCCUGGUCAGCGGGGCCGAAGCCAGUCUCCCUCCUCCUGCGAAAUUUGUCGCCCAGUUUUCACCAUCUCUUCAAGCAACGGGGACACGUCGAACCCAGAGGUCAUGCCGAGGGCUGUCUGUGAACCGUGCAGGGAAAGGGAGGUUCAAACGGGCCCUGGAGGCUGAGUUUUAAGAACAGGAAUUUACACCAGAUACGAUUUAUUUUCGAAGUCUCCGUCCUGUUCUUCCAACCUGUCGGUGGCCGUCCCUGGGACCAGCCAUUCCACUGACGAGAUGCCUCGAGAGCUCUCUGAAAACCAAGUUUUGCUUUAUAAAUGUAGCCAAUUUGAAGGAUCCACUGUCCGGCCCUCGACGAGUAGAUCUAUUAACAGGAACUCAAACCCGAGCCCUCGAACGGCUUUGCCAGGGACACAAGGGCUGUCCAGACUGGGCCCAGAGGUGCGGCCCCCGUGAUCCGAAAGUUUGCUCCCGAAAUUGGUCUAAGCAAGCAAAUGCUGCGUGGCACCGGUGGUAAGGGUCCUACGGAGAGAACAGCUCGUCUGGGACACGAGCAGGGGCAGGCGUUCCUGGAAGGGGAGUCUCCCUCCAGUACUGACCCACCACGCAGACCGAGACGACAAACGUCCUUAUGGGCUGGAACCUCUCAUGGCAAAAAGUCCGAGAGCGGACCAGGCGGGGAGGGGGCUGCGGUCCCCGGUCCACUCCCCGGGCCACGCAGGUGCACCGGGUACACACACCCUCCAGAUCAGGGAGCCCAGACGCUGCAUCCUCACUCGUGCCUCGGGUCUCAGGGCCACACUGAGACCGAGGACCGAUGUGCCUCGGGGUCGGGGACCGUGUACUGUUCUACGAGGACCUUCCUGCACGGACGUGUUCUUGACGUCCUACCGUCAGCCUAACCCCCCACCGACUUACCCUGGCCCAGGUGUCUUCUCGAGGAACCAGGCCCGCUAGCGGCUGGACCACCACAUCUGUGGCUUUCAAUUCCACAACGUCCCUCAGCAACAGCCUUGAACCCACAGCAGCGUUGUCCCGACAGACAGCGGCUGGCGGGAACCGGGGCCUCACCAGCCUCUGGGGCCCGUGCCCGCCUCUGCCCUGUGGGAAUCCCUUCCCGUACAAGCUACGUACAGGACACACACAGGGGAAAACAAAGACCAGCUCCGGGAGGAAGGAGAACAGAAACCAGGGGACUCGACCAAAUUAGCCAGGCGCCCUCGGCCCGAGGAUGUAGCGCCACGGGGCCUCCUCCUGAGGGCCUGCGUUCGGAGGAAAGGACAUCACCAGCAGCGUUCUCUCCACCCGACGCCGCAGGGUCCAGCAGGUUCAAGGAUCUGGCCGACCACCCCAUCUGUCGCGGAGCAGGAACCCCGUCCCCUUCCGGGUCCCUCUGGCCGGACU
Long non-coding RNA from Mustela lutreola (European mink), 4999 nucleotides. RefSeq lists it as uncharacterized. Lineage: Eukaryota; Metazoa; Chordata; Mammalia; Carnivora; Mustelidae. The transcript has 3 exons. The record is from RefSeq and is a predicted model, not a curated record.